UUCCGGUUGAUCCCGCCGGAGGUCACCGCUAUUGGGAUCCGAUUAAGCCAUGCGAGUCGAGAGGGUUUAGACCCUCGGCAGAAGUCUCAGUAACACGCGAACAAUCUGCCCUUGAGUGGGGAAUAAUCUCGGGAAACUGAGCAUAAUACCCCAUAGAUCUAGGAUGCUGGAAUGCUUCUAGGCUCAAAGCUCAGGCGCUCAAGGAUGAGUUUGCGGCCUAUCAGGCUGUAGUGGGUGUAACAGACCCACUAACCUGUGACGGGUACGGGCCUUGAGGGAGGUAGCCCGGAGUUGGACUCUGAGACACUAGUCCAGGCCCUACGGGGUGCAGCAGGCGCGAAAACUUCACAAUGCGGGGAACCGCGAUGAGGGGAUCCCAAGUGCCUAUGCAUUGCAUAGGCUGUUCAGUAACCUAAAAAGUUAUUGGAGUAAGAGCCGGGUAAGACGGGUGCCAGCCGCCGCGGUAAUACCCGCGGCUCGAGUGGUGAUCGUUAUUAUUGAGCCUAAAGCGUCCGUAGCCGGCCUUGUAAAUCUCUGGGUAAAUCGAACGGCUUAACCCUUCGAAUUCCGGAGAGACUGCAAGGCUUGGGACCGGAGGAGGUCGAAGGUACUCCUGGGGUAGGGGUGAAAUCCUGUGAUCCCAGGGGGACCACCAGUGGCGAAGGCGUUCGACCAAAACGGAUCCGACGGUGAGGGACGAAACCCUGGGGCGCAAACGGGAUUAGAUACCCCGGUAGUCCAGGGCGUAAACGCUGCAGGUUUGGUGUUGGGGGUCCUACGAGGGCGCCCAGUGCCGGAGAGAAGUUGUUAAACCUGCCGCUUGGGGAGUACGGUCGCAAGUCUGAAACUUAAAGGAAUUGGCGGGGGAGCACAGCAACGGGUGGAGCGUGCGGUUCAAUUGGAUUCAACGCCGGGA
This 916-nucleotide ribosomal RNA is filed under the name uncultured archaeon. RNAcentral describes it as "bacterial SSU rRNA". It matches the Rfam family "Archaeal small subunit ribosomal RNA", at positions 1 to 923 of the family's 1478-position model. The record is from RNAcentral.